Non-coding RNA from Cajanus cajan (pigeon pea), 2252 nucleotides. The record is from RefSeq and is a predicted model, not a curated record. NCBI's taxonomy places the organism in Eukaryota, Viridiplantae, Streptophyta, Magnoliopsida, Fabales, Fabaceae.
GACUUUCCUUGACAUUCACAAUUAAGGUGUGUGGUGUGCUCAUAGCUCAUAAGUCAUAACAAAACAACCUCAAGGCUCAAGCACCCAUGAGAGGGAACCACCACCAGCGUGCGGCCCAAGCCUCGUCCCUCACUCCAAACCCUUCCUCUUCUUCCACUCACCGCAAUUUGGGCCCGCCAAACCCCCGCAGGCCCGCCCGGAGGACUCCAGGCCCACAACACCACCACCACCGCCAGCCCAACUUCCAAUUCCGCGUCGUCAACAAUCCCCAACCGCUUCCUUCCUCCGUCCAGGAUGUAAACGCUGAUGUCACCGAUCGCGUAGCUAGCUCAGGCAAGGCCGAGGAAGGAGACGCUGAUGAUGACUCUGAUGCUGAUGCUGAUGGUGAUGUUCAGGCUAGGCUUGGUAAGUUGUUCAGUAGAAUCGAGGAACCUGAAUUGUCCGAGGAGCAGAUCAGAAUCAAUGAUCAAUUGCAGCAAGAUGAGAUGCUUGUGGUGGAGUCAAUUUAUGGAGAAAACGUUUUCAGCCUUGAGAGAUGGAAAGAUUUGCGCUGUUUUCAGAUACAUAUACACAUUGAUGUUUUGGGUGAAAUUCCAAUCCUUGCUAAGCUGAACUCUCUUAAUCAACUUGAGACUGUAAACAGCAAUUCAGACGAGUUCUUAUACACUUUCAAAGUUCAAUAUCUUCCACCGAUUGUUUUGACGUGUUUAUUACCUAAGUCGUACCCAAGCCACCAAAAACCUAUUUUUACACUCUCUGUUAAGUGGUUGGAACCCCUGAAGAUUACAAGUCUGUGCUCUAAGUUGGAUUCAAUAUGGGCCGAACAACAGGGGCAGGAAGUAAUUUACUCUUGGGUAGAAUGGUUACAUGGUUGUUCUCUUUCUCAUCUGGGAUUUGAUGAGGGAAUCACACUCGGGCCUUAUGGCAUGAAUCAUGUCCGGGAUGAGCGUGUUGUUUCAGGAGCUGAAUGCAUUGAUGUUGAUAUUCCUUUUUUACAAAGUUACAAUGAUCAGAGACACCAUGAGAACUUCCUUAAAGAAUUGCAUCAAUGUAACAUUUGCUUUAGUGAAUUUGCUGGUAAUGAGUUUAUCCGGUUACCAUGUAAGCACUUUUUUUGCCUCAAGUGCUUGCAGACCUUUGCCCAGAUACAUGUAAAGGAAGGCACCGUUAGUAAUCUUCAGUGUCCUGAAGCAAAAUGUGCUGUUAUGAUUCCACCUGGCCUUUUAAAACACUUGCUGGAUGACACAGAUUAUGAGCGCUGGGAAUCCAUGAUGUUGGAAAAAACACUUGCGUCAAUGUCUGAUGUUGUUUAUUGUCCAAGAUGUGAAACACCAUGUAUAGAGGAUGAAGACCAGCAUGCUCAAUGUCCAAAAUGCUAUUUUAGCUUUUGUACCCUUUGCAGGGAACGACGCCAUGUUGGCAUAGCAUGCAUGACACUAGAUAUGAAGCUUCAGAUUUUGCAGGAUCGUCAAAAUUCGACUCAGUUAAAGGCAGAUCAAAAGCGUAAGGAACUUGAGAAGAUUAAUGAAAUGCUCAGUAUGAAGGAAAUUCAUCGUGAUUCCAAGUUGUGCCCUUCUUGUGACAUGGCAAUUUCUCGAACUGAAGGUUGUAACAAAAUGAAAUGCGGUAAUUGUGAACAAUACUUCUGUUACCGCUGCAACAAAGCACUUGAUGCAUCAGACCCAUAUGGACAUUUUAGGGAUGGUUCAUGUGAAUUGUUCCCACGAGAAAUGGUUGAUUCCUGGCAAGAGCGUAUAAAUCAUCGCCAGGCGGUGGGACAAUUACAGGCUGAGCUCUUUCCUCAAUGUGGCUUGGCAUGUCCUAACUGUCGUCAAUUUAAUGCAAAGAUUGGAAAUAAUAAUCACUUGUUUUGCUGGGCAUGCCAAAGCCAUUACUGCUACUUCUGCAAAAAAAUUGUUAGGCGCGGCACUAAGCAUUAUGGACCCAAGGGCUGCAAACAGCACAGUGAGGGAUAGUAUAAGCACAAUGUCUUAAGAGUGUUUUUAUUUUUUAUUUUUGGCAUUGUGAAAUGCAACAAGUUUUAAUAGGUUCUUCUAGAUUGAUGAAGCUACCGUGAUUAAUGCAAAAGGCGGAAAUUAUUUGCUAAAUGUGAGUUUCAAUUGUAUUUUGUAGCAAUAUAAAAUAAAUAUAAAUAGGAUGUGUAUUACAUUUGAAUUCUAGAAGAGGAAGAGAAUAAAAGGGUUCAAUUUUACGGCUGAAAAGUAAAUCUGAAUCAAUUUUUUUUCUUUUUU